Triticum aestivum (bread wheat) is the source of this 135-nucleotide non-coding RNA. The record is from Rfam. NCBI's taxonomy places the organism in Eukaryota, Viridiplantae, Streptophyta, Magnoliopsida, Poales, Poaceae.
GGAGUACUCCCUCCGUCCGGAAAUACUUGUCAUCAAAAUGAAUAAAAGGAGAUGUAUCUAGAUGAAUUUUAACUCUAGAUACAUCCCUUUUUAUUCAUUUUGAUGACAAAUAUUUUCGGACGGAGGGAGUAAUGU